This is a long non-coding RNA of Pseudophryne corroboree (corroboree frog), 421 nucleotides long. RefSeq lists it as uncharacterized. The record is from RefSeq and is a predicted model, not a curated record. NCBI's taxonomy places the organism in Eukaryota, Metazoa, Chordata, Amphibia, Anura, Myobatrachidae. The transcript has 3 exons.
GUUACUGUCCCUAAAUGUAAAACAUGCAAGCUUUUACACACCGUGGAGAAAAGCACGAAAAUAUUUUCAAACGGCAAAAAAAUUAUGAAUUUCUUGUUAUCGGAACGGGUUGUUUUUAUUCUGGGGAAAAAAGAACCUUGCUGCACGCUGCCAUAUUUGUGUCUCAGGCAGCAGGAACUGCUGAUGGAAGCAAUAUAUGGAGCAGAUGUUGGAGAAAAUUCCCAUAACUACUUCAAUAGGAAACGAGCCCUUGGUGCCAGCUUCCUCCAUGAGCCGAGCACAGAACACCUGUGAUUGAAAGAAGACCUCACCUGGUCCAGGAGAUGUAAUCGGGACACGUAAGCUUUCUCUGUCUGCAGCAGCUCAUUGGCUAUAUUAUACACUUUCUGGCGAGCUGUGAACUGGAAGAAAGAAUGGGAAA